RNAcentral lists this ribosomal RNA (253 nucleotides) under uncultured bacterium. RNAcentral's name for it is "partial 16S ribosomal RNA". It matches the Rfam family "Bacterial small subunit ribosomal RNA", at positions 524 to 776 of the family's 1533-position model. The record is from RNAcentral.
CACGUAGGGCGCAAGCGUUGUCCGGAAUUAUUGGGCGUAAAGAGCGUGUAGGCGGUUUGUCGCGUCUGCUGUGAAAUUUCGGGGCUCAACCCCGAACUUGCAGUGGGUACGGGCAGACUAGAGUGUGGUAGGGGAGACUGGAAUUCCUGGUGUAGCGGUGAAAUGCGCAGAUAUCAGGAGGAACACCGAUGGCGAAGGCAGGUCUCUGGGCCACUACUGACGCUGAGAAGCGAAAGCAUGGGGAGCGAACAGG